GACGAACGCUGGCGGCGUGCUUAACACAUGCAUUUCGAACGGUAAGGCUCCAGCUUGCUGGGGUACACGAGUGGCGAACGGGUGAGUAACACGUGGGUGACCUGCCCUGCACUUCGGGAUAAGCCUGGGAAACUGGGUCUAAUACCGGAUAGGACCGCACCGUGAGGGUGUGGUGGAAAGUUUUUUCGGUGUGGGAUGGGCCCGCGGCCUAUCAGCUUGUUGGUGGGGUAAUGGCCUACCAAGGCGGCGACGGGUAGCCGGCCUGAGAGGGUGGACGGCCACAUUGGGACUGAGACACGGCCCAGACUCCUACGGGAGGCAGCAGUGGGGAAUAUUGCACAAUGGGCGGAAGCCUGAUGCAGCGACGCCGCGUGGGGGAUGACGGCCUUCGGGUUGUAAACUCCUUUCACCAUCGACGAAGGGUUUCUGACGGUAGAUGGAGAAGAAGCACCGGCUAACUACGUGCCAGCAGCCGCGGUAAUACGUAGGGUGCGAGCGUUGUCCGGAAUUACUGGGCGUAAAGAGCUCGUAGGUGGUUUGUCGCGUCGUCUGUGAAAUUCCGGGGCUUAACUCCGGGCGUGCAGGCGAUACGGGCAUAACUUGAGUACUGUAGGGGAGACUGGAAUUCCUGGUGUAGCGGUGAAAUGCGCAGAUAUCAGGAGGAACACCGGUGGCGAAGGCGGGUCUCUGGGCAGUAACUGACGCUGAGGAGCGAAAGCAUGGGGAGCGAACAGGAUUAGAUACCCUGGUAGUCCAUGCCGUAAACGGUGGGCGCUAGGUGUGGGUUUCCUUCCACGGGAUCCGUGCCGUAGCUAACGCAUUAAGCGCCCCGCCUGGGGAGUACGGCCGCAAGGCUAAAACUCAAAGGAAUUGACGGGGGCCCGCACAAGCGGCGGAGCAUGUGGAUUAAUUCGAUGCAACGCGAAGAACCUUACCUGGGCUUGACAUAUACAGGAUCGCGCCAGAGAUGGUGUUUCCCUUGUGGCUUGUAUACAGGUGGUGCAUGGUUGUCGUCAGCUCGUGUCGUGAGAUGUUGGGUUAAGUCCCGCAACGAGCGCAACCCUUGUCUUAUGUUGCCAGCACGUUGUGGUGGGGACUCGUAAGAAACUGCCGGGGUUAACUCGGAGGGAGGUGGGGAUGACGUCAAAUCAUCAUGCCCCUUAUGUCCAGGGCUUCACACAUGCUACAAUGGUCGGUACAGUGGGUUGCCAGUCCGUGAGGGCGAGCUAAUCCCGCAAAGCCGGUCUCAGUUCGGAUCGGGGUCUGCAACUCGACCCCGUGAAGUCGGAGUCGCUAGUAAUCGCAGAUCAGCAACGCUGCGGUGAAUACGUUCCCGGGCCU
This 1341-nucleotide ribosomal RNA is filed under the name uncultured bacterium. RNAcentral's name for it is "16S ribosomal RNA". It matches the Rfam family "Bacterial small subunit ribosomal RNA", at positions 28 to 1381 of the family's 1533-position model. The record is from RNAcentral.